Molecule: long non-coding RNA, 1837 nt
Filed under: Sus scrofa (pig)
Lineage: Eukaryota; Metazoa; Chordata; Mammalia; Artiodactyla; Suidae
Description: lncRNA (ENSSSCG00040034584.1)
Source: RNAcentral
UGCUGUUGAGUUGUAUAAGUUGCUUAUAUAUUCUAGAGAUUAAGCCCUUGUCAGUUGCAUCAUUUGAAACUAUUUUCUCCCAUUCUGUAAGUUGUCUUUUUGUUUUCUUUUGGGUUUCCUUUGCUGUGCAAAAGCUUUUCAGUUUGAUGAGGUCCCAUGGGUUUAUUUUUGCUCUAAUUUCUAUUGCUUUGGGAGACUGACCUGAGAAAAUAUUCAUGAUGUUGAUGUCAGAGAGUGUUUUGCCUAUGUUUUCUUCUAGGAGUUUGAUGGUGUCCUGUCGUAUAUUUAAGUCUUUCAGCCAUUUGGAGUUUAUUUUUGUGCAUGGUGUGAGGGUGUGUUCUAGUUUCAUUGCUUUGCAUGCAGCUGUCCAGGUUUCCCAGCAAUGCUUGCUGAAUAGACUUUCUUUUUCCCAUUUUAUGUUCUUGCCUCCCUUGUCAAAGAUUAAUUGACCAUAGGUGUCAGGGUUUAUUUCCGGAUUCUCUAUUCUGUUCCAUUGGUCUGUCUGUCUGUUUUGAUACCAGUACCACACUGUUUUGAUGACUGUGGCUUUGUAGUAUUUCUUGAAGUCUGGGAGAGUUAUGCCUCCUGCUUGGUUUUUGUUUCUCAGGAUUGCUUUGGCGAUUCUGGGUCUUUUGUGGUUCCAUAUAAAUGUUUGGAUUGUUUGUUCUAGUUCUGUGAAAAAUGUCAUGGGUAAUUUGAUAGGGAUUGCAUUGAAUCUGUAGAUUGCUUUGGGUAGGAUGGCCAUUUUCACAAUAUUGAUUUUUCCAAUCCAGGAACAUGGAAUAUCUUUCCAUUUCUUUACAUCUUCUUUGAUUUCUUUGAUUAAGGUUUUAUAGUUCUCGGCAUAUAGGUCCUUUACCUCUUUGGUCAGGUGUAUUCCGAGGUAUUUGAUUUUGUGAGGUACAAUUUUAAAAGGUAUCGUAUUUUUGUAUUCCUUUUCUAAUGUUUCAUUGCUGGUAUACAGAAAUGCAACUGACUUCUGAAUGUUAAUCUUAUAUCUUGCCACUUUGCUGAAGUUAUUAAUCAGUUCAAGGAGUUUUGGGGUUGAGUCCUUAGGGUUUUCUAUGUAUAGUAUCAUGUCAUCUGCAUACAGUGACAGUUUGAUCUCUUCUCUUCCUAUAUGGAUGCCUUUUAUUUGUUUGUUUAAUUGCUGUGGCUAAGACUUCCAAAACUAUGUUGAAGAGCAGUGGUGAGAGUGGGCAUCCCUGUCUUGUUCCCGAUUUGAUGAGAAGGCUUUCAAUUUUUCUCAAUUGAGUAUUAUAUUUGCAGUGUGUUUGUCAUAAAUGGCUUCGAUUAUGUUAAGGAAUGUUCCAUCUAUACCCAGUUUGGUGAGAUUGUUUUUACAAUAAAUGGAUGUUGGACUUUGUCAAAUGCUUUUUCUGCAUCUAUUGUGAUGAUCAUAUGGUUUUUGACUUUUCUUUUGUUAAUGUUGUGUAUGACAUUGAUUGAUUUGCAUAUGUUGAACCAUCCUUGUGAACCUGGGAUGAACCUCAUCUGGUCAUGGCAUAUGAUCUUUUUGACAUGUUGUUGGAUUUGGUUGGCUACAAUUUUGUUGAGAAUGUUUGCAUCUAUAUUAAUCAAAGGAGUUCCCGUCGUGGCGCAGUGGUUAACGAAUCCGACUAGGAACCAUGAGGUUGCGGGUUCGGUCCCUGCCCUUGCUCAGUGGGUUAACGAUCCAGCGUUGCUGUGAGCUGUGGUGUAGGUUGCAGACGCGGCUCGGAUCCCGCGUUGCUGUGGCUCUGGUGUAGGCCGGUGCUACAGCUCCGAUUCAACCCCUGGCGUGGGAACCUCCAUAUGCCGCGGGAGCGGCCCAAGAAAUAGCAACAACAACAAACAA